GGGAGGCAGCAGUGGGGAAUAUUGGACAAUGGGCGCAAGCCUGAUCCAGCCAUACCGCGUGGGUGAAGAAGGCCUUCGGGUUGUAAAGCCCUUUUGUUGGGAAAGAAAUCCAGCUGGCUAAUACCCGGUUGGGAUGACGGUACCCAAAGAAUAAGCACCGGCUAACUUCGUGCCAGCAGCCGCGGUAAUACGAAGGGUGCAAGCGUUACUCGGAAUUACUGGGCGUAAAGCGUGCGUAGGUGGUCGUUUAAGUCCGUUGUGAAAGCCCUGGGCUCAACCUGGGAACUGCAGUGGAUACUGGACGACUAGAGUGUGGUAGAGGGUAGCGGAAUUCCUGGUGUAGCAGUGAAAUGCGUAGAGAUCAGGAGGAACAUCCAUGGCGAAGGCAGCUACCUGGACCAACACUGACACUGAGGCACGAAAGCGUGGGGAGCAAACAGGAUUAGAUACCCUGGUAGUCCACGCCCUAAACGAUGCGAACUGGAUGUUGGGUGCAAUUUGGCACGCAGUAUCGAAGCUAACGCGUUAAGUUCGCCGCCUGGGGAGUACGGUCGCAAGACUGAAACUCAAAGGAAUUGACGGG
Molecule: ribosomal RNA, 583 nt
Filed under: uncultured bacterium
Lineage: Bacteria
Description: bacterial SSU rRNA
Rfam family: Bacterial small subunit ribosomal RNA
Source: RNAcentral